This 453-nucleotide ribosomal RNA is filed under the name uncultured bacterium. RNAcentral's name for it is "bacterial SSU rRNA". It matches the Rfam family "Bacterial small subunit ribosomal RNA", at positions 28 to 507 of the family's 1533-position model. The record is from RNAcentral.
GACGAACGCUGGCGGUGUGCUUCACACAUGCAAGUCGAACGGAGUAGCAAUACUCAGUGGCGGACGGGUGAGUAACACGUGGGAAUCUACCAUUAGAUGGGGAAUAACAGGGCGAAAGUUCUGCUAAUGCCGCAUAUGUAUGUACCUCGACAGGGGUGUAUAUGAAAGGAGUAAUCCGUCUGGUGAUGAGCCCGCGUCCGAUUAGCUAGUUGGUAGGGUAAAAGCCUACCAAGGCGACGAUCGGUAGGUGGUCUGAGAGGAUGAUCACCCACAAUGGGACUGAGACACGGCCCAUACUCCUACGGGAGGCAGCAGUGGGGAAUUUUACGCAAUGGGGGAAACCCUGACGUAGCGACACCGCGUGAGCGAAGAAGCCCUUUGGGGUGUAAAGCUCUGUCAACGGGAACGAAAUCAAUGACGGUACCCGUGGAGGAAGCAUCGGCUAACUACGUG